This 306-nucleotide unclassified non-coding RNA is filed under the name fungal sp. RNAcentral describes it as "partial internal transcribed spacer region". The stretch from base 1 to 46 matches the Rfam family "Eukaryotic small subunit ribosomal RNA", at positions 1786 to 1831 of the family's 1831-position model. Lineage: Eukaryota; Fungi. The record is from RNAcentral.
AAGUCGUAACAAGGUUUCCGUAGGUGAACCUGCGGAAGGAUCAUUAACACGUUUAACACGUUUAAUAACCCCAAAACGUGCACCGUAACUGACUGAUCUCUAGACACGUGUGCUUUCGAUGAACUUUGAGGAGCGGAUGGAAGCUUCGGUUUCCAGUUCUCGACUGCGGUGUCUAGAUCGGUAAUAACCGCUCUUCACAUUAUUAACUCUUUGUAAAUUUUUGACUAAAUUGUGCUGGAAGUAAUUUUCUAUGCACGUUAAAUUUUAACAAAAGAACAACUCUUAGCAACGGAUAUCUCGGCUCUC